Phasianus colchicus (ring-necked pheasant) is the source of this 1039-nucleotide long non-coding RNA. RefSeq lists it as uncharacterized. NCBI's taxonomy places the organism in Eukaryota, Metazoa, Chordata, Aves, Galliformes, Phasianidae. The record is from RefSeq and is a predicted model, not a curated record.
UAGUUAUUCUAGAAUUCAUGUCAUAGUCAUACAGUUGUGCCUCUUUCAGUUCACAUCCCCCCUUAGACAUCUCUCUGGUACUAUAUAUUUCCACUGUCAGCUACGCUUGAUGAGAACAUGGGAAAUUACCAAAGGGGAUGUCCCUUCCUCCACCAAGGUGGAUGAGAGGAACUCUAAAGCCAUAGUUUUAGAAUUGGGGAAUCUUCCUUGGGAGGGCCCCUCUCUCUGUUGACAGUAUGAGGAAUGCAGAAUUACUUAGAGCUGUUGCCUAAGCCUUAGAUGACUCAAAUGAGGGAAAUUGUCAGCUUGAACUGUUAGUCCUGAUGUGUGUUGUGGUUCCAAGAGGCACCUCAACUUUUUCUGAAGGGAUGAAUGUCAUAUUUAUCUUCAUGAUUCUUCUUUAAAACACAAGUCUCUUGGAAAACAUCUUCUUCAACACUUUACAAACAGCUCUGGCUUGCACCACCCACCAAGAGCAUUGCUGGUUGUCUAUUGAUCAUCCAGUGCGUUGCUGGAUACUGUCAAUAUACCAGAUUUAGACUGUGUGUUGAAGACUGCCAUGUACAGGACACUGUUGGCUUCUGGUCUUAGCAACCAACAAAUAAUUUAGAGUCUGGAUAUUUGAUGAUCCCUAAAGAAGAAUGACUCAACUAGCCCUCUACUGUGGACUUCUUCAUUACCACAGACGUAGAUCCAGUCCAAGAACUGAUUUUCCCUUGUGCAUUUAUUUGGUGGCCACUUGGAUGCAGCUUAGGAAACAGUUAGUGUUUCUCCAGCAGUUGGGAAAUGUUUACUUCCAGCUGUUUAUUUCCCUCAGCGGAUUAAUAAGCCUAUUUCAAAGUGCUGCAAAAAGGAAAAAUGAGUUUUUGAAAAGGGAAAGGAAGAACAUCCAGUGACAGAGUGUUUUCAUCAAGUUCCCGUUCUCCUGCAUCACAAAGGAAGAGUUUAAACGAAAGGCUCAGAGCUUCCUUGACUUUCCAGUGUGCCUAAUCAAAUGUGUAAUUUAUCAAGCAUAAUAAAAUAAACUACAUCAACUGAA